RNAcentral lists this ribosomal RNA (552 nucleotides) under uncultured Acidobacteriota bacterium. Its description in RNAcentral is "bacterial SSU rRNA". It matches the Rfam family "Bacterial small subunit ribosomal RNA", at positions 355 to 897 of the family's 1533-position model. The record is from RNAcentral. Lineage: Bacteria; Pseudomonadati; Acidobacteriota.
UGGGGAAUUGUUCGCAAUGGGCGCAAGCCUGACGACGCAACGCCGCGUGGAGGAUGAAGAUCUUCGGGUCGUAAACUCCUGUCGAAUGGGACGAAUAGAUUGCGGGUUAACAGCCCGCGGUCCUGACGGUACCGUUAAAGGAAACCCCGGCUAACUCCGUGCCAGCAGCCGCGGUAAUACGGGGGGGGUAAGCGUUGUUCGGAAUUACUGGGCGUAAAGGGCUCGUAGGCGGCCAACUAAGUCAUACGUGAAAUCCCUCAGCUUAACUGGGGAACUGCGUGUGAUACUGGAUGGCUUGGAUCCGGGAGAGGGAUGCGGAAUUCCAGGUGUAGCGGUGAAAUGCGUAGAUAUCUGGAGGAACACCGGUGGCGAAGGCGGCAUCCUGGACCGGUAUUGACGCUGAGGAGCGAAAGCCAGGGGAGCAAACGGGAUUAGAUACCCCGGUAGUCCUGGCCCUAAACGAUGAAUGCUUGGUGUAGCGGGUAUCGAUCCCUGCUGUGCCGAAGCUAACGCAUUAAGCAUUCCGCCUGGGGAGUACGGUCGCAAGGCUGA